This 401-nucleotide ribosomal RNA is filed under the name uncultured bacterium. RNAcentral describes it as "bacterial SSU rRNA". It matches the Rfam family "Bacterial small subunit ribosomal RNA", at positions 359 to 776 of the family's 1533-position model. The record is from RNAcentral.
GAAUCUUGCGCAAUGGGCGAAAGCCUGACGCAGCGACGCCGCGUGCGGGAUGAAGGCCUUCGGGUCGUAAACCGCUUUCAGCAGGGACGAAAUUGACGGUACCUGCAGAAGAAGGCCCGGCCAACUACGUUCCAGCAGCCGCGGUGAUACGUAGGGGUCUAGCGUUGUCCGGAAUCAUUGGGCGUAAAGAGCUCGUAGGCGGUUCGGCAAGUCGGAUGUGAAAUCUCCACGCUCAACGUGGAGGGGCCAUUCGAAACUGCCGUGACUCGAGUCCGGUAGGGGAGUGCGGAAUUCCCGGUGUAGCGGUGAAAUGCGCAGAUAUCGGGAGGAACACCAGUGGCGAAGGCGGCACUCUGGGCCGGAACUGACGCUGAGGAGCGAAAGCGUGGGGAGCGAACAGG